UGGCCUCACCCCACCCCUCCCCCGGCCCCAGCCUCAGGUGCUGCACAUGGGACUGACACAGCUCUCAAUCCACACAGGGAUUCUGGCCCAGACCGGAGCAGCCCAGACUCUGAAGAUCAGAUCCAGUACACCGUGGUCACCGGAGCCCACGCUGACCAGCAGCCCAGACUGGACGGGGACGUGGCUGUGACGUACGCGGUGGUAGGAAAAGG
Molecule: long non-coding RNA, 212 nt
Organism: Mauremys reevesii (Reeves's turtle)
Lineage: Eukaryota; Metazoa; Chordata; Testudines; Geoemydidae
Exons: 3
Source: RefSeq, a predicted model, not a curated record